This 412-nucleotide long non-coding RNA is filed under the name Brassica napus (rape). RNAcentral's name for it is "long non-coding RNA (BNAP_LNC017101)". The record is from RNAcentral. Lineage: Eukaryota; Viridiplantae; Streptophyta; Magnoliopsida; Brassicales; Brassicaceae.
UUGACGCUCAAAGAGCCAUAAUCUCGAGGGGGCAUAUUAGACACAAAGUGUCCCACAUCGGUAGUUGGAAAGGAUCCUAAAUAAUAUAUAAGAUAGAUGGAUCACUCCAUUUAUCACCAAUUGGUUUUAGGUUGGAAGCCCAUCUAGCUUAACAGCCACCAUUUGAUCAAAUAUCUCUUAACUCAUAUUUCAAUUGCGUCAAACCAUUAACAAAUACUCUCCAAUUAUUCAAGUGUUAUUUAGUGUGUUUGCGUGUGUUUUUCUAAACUGAGAGGGUCAGGAAAUGAAAAAAAAAAGAGCAAAAGAUGAUCGCAUGAGCUUCUUCCUCUUGAGCUUUCUUGGACCCGUACUACAGAUCCCUCGAGACUCUCCUCUGUUUGUCUCCAGAGGCUCGCCCAUUUUGAUAUAGGAC